AUUGAACGCUGGCGGCAGGCCUAACACAUGCAAGUCGAGCGGUUGAAGGGUGCUUGCUCCUGGAUUCAGCGGCGGACGGGUGUGUAAUGCCUAUGAAUCUGCCUUGUAGUGGUGUAUAACGUCCUGUAACGGGCUCUAAUACCGCAUACGUCCUUAGGGUGAAAUUGUGUGAUCUUCGUACCUCUCGCUAUCUUUUGUGCCUAGGUCGGAUUUGCUAGUUGGUGGGGUAAAGGCCUACCAAGGCGACUAUCCGUAACUGGUCUGAGAGGAUGAUCAGUCACACUGGAACUGAGACAGGGACCAGACUACUACGGGAGGCAGCAGUGGGGAAUAUGGGACAAUGGGCGAAAGCAUGAUACAGGAAAGCCGAGUGUGUGAAGAAGGACUUCGGAUUGUAAAGAAGUUUAAGUUGGGAGGAAGGGAAGUAAGUUAAUACCUUGCUGUAUUGACGUUACCAACAGAAGAAGCACCGGCUAACUACGUG
RNAcentral lists this ribosomal RNA (484 nucleotides) under uncultured bacterium. Its description in RNAcentral is "partial 16S ribosomal RNA". It matches the Rfam family "Bacterial small subunit ribosomal RNA", at positions 30 to 507 of the family's 1533-position model. The record is from RNAcentral.